Molecule: RNA transcript, 324 nt
Organism: Arabidopsis thaliana (thale cress)
Lineage: Eukaryota; Viridiplantae; Streptophyta; Magnoliopsida; Brassicales; Brassicaceae
Exons: 1
Source: RefSeq
AAAAAACUUGAUGGUAAAUUCUCACUCUUCCAUAGAUGGAAAGUUAUGAGUGAUGGUUCUCGUUGGUCGAUUAGUCUCAAGAUGAUGCAGUGUGAAGGAAUCGAAGUAUGAAGAUUUGGAAUUCCGGUCGAGUUUGAUAGUUCUCCGAAGAAUACUUCCAUUUUGUUGACUGAGAUUUAUCUCCGGUAAACAAAGAAAUUUCCUCAACUAGUUCCAGUGGUACAAUAGAAGGGUCGACCCGGUCGAAGCUUUGCAAAAAUGAUGAUGGAACUUGCUCGCGAAGCUUAGUCGGUGAAAAAGAUGCGUUGAAUUACAGAUCUGCUG